RNAcentral lists this ribosomal RNA (398 nucleotides) under uncultured bacterium. RNAcentral describes it as "bacterial SSU rRNA". It matches the Rfam family "Bacterial small subunit ribosomal RNA", at positions 29 to 455 of the family's 1533-position model. The record is from RNAcentral.
AACGAACGCUGGCGGCAGGCCUAACACAUGCAAGUCGAACGCCGUAGCAAUACGGAGUGGCAGACGGGUGAGUAACACGUGGGAACGUACCCUUCGGUUCGGGAUAACUCAGGGAAACUUGAGCUAAUACCGGAUACGUCCGAGAGGAGAAAGAUUUAUUGCCGAGGGAUCGGCCCGCGUCUGAUUAGCUUGUUGGUGAGGUAACGGCUCACCAAGGCGACGAUCAGUAGCUGGCUGAGAGGAUGAUCAGCCACAUUGGGACUGAGACACGGCCCAAACUCCUACGGGAGGCAGCAGUGGGGAAUAUUGGACAAUGGGCGCAAGCCUGAUCCAGCCAUGCCGCGUGAGUGAUGAAGGCCCUAGGGUUGUAAAGCUCUUUUACCCGGGAAGAUAAUGAC